AUAAAAUGUUAACUGCUUCCUUCCUAUGGUGGUUAAGCAAAGAUGGACUUGUCCGGGAGCGAGGAUCUACUUCUGUUCAUACCAGCUUUCAAGAUACUUCUGUCCACACCAUUCCUCCGUUUUAAGGAAAUCAUCGUGUGACAUUCUCCUUUUGGACAAGGCGAUCCUGGCUGGUCCCUGGAAUGUCCACUUAUGUUUCAUUGAUGGAACUAUAUCACACAGCUGUCCCUAGCUGCACAGAGGGCUGAGAAAGUGAGUAUCUGGCAUUUUCAGUCUCUGCUGGGUUGGGGUAGAAUCUGCCAAUAGAGUAG
Molecule: long non-coding RNA, 311 nt
Filed under: Mustela putorius furo (domestic ferret)
Lineage: Eukaryota; Metazoa; Chordata; Mammalia; Carnivora; Mustelidae
Description: lncRNA (ENSMPUG00000027003.1)
Source: RNAcentral